RNAcentral lists this ribosomal RNA (2904 nucleotides) under Candidatus Ishikawaella capsulata Mpkobe. RNAcentral's name for it is "bacterial LSU rRNA". It matches the Rfam family "Bacterial large subunit ribosomal RNA". The record is from RNAcentral. Lineage: Bacteria; Pseudomonadati; Pseudomonadota; Gammaproteobacteria; Enterobacterales; Enterobacteriaceae.
AGUUAAGUAAUUAAGCGUAUAUGGUGAAUGCCUUGGCAGUCAGAGGCGAUGAAGGACGUGCUAAUCUGCGAAAAGCGUCGGUAAGGUGAUAUGAACCGCUAUAACCGGCGAUAUCCGAAUAGGGAAACCUGGUGUACAAAGAUACAUCAUCACAACAUAAAUACAUAGUGUUGUGAAGCAAACCGAAGGAACUGAAACAUCUAAGUACUUCGAGGAAAAGAAAUCAACCGAGAUUCCCUUAGUAGUGGCGAGCGAAAGGGGAACAGCCCAGAGCCUUAAUCAAAAUAUGAAGUAGUAGAACAAUUUGGAAACAUUGACGAUACAGGGUGAUAGUCCCGUAUAAUUAAACUUUAUAUAUUGUGAGCUCAAUGAGUAGGACGGGACACGUGAUAUCCUGUUUGAAUAAAGGGGGACCAUCCUCUAAGGCUAAAUACUCCUGACUGACCGAUAGUGAACUAGUACCGUGAGGGAAAGGUGAAAAGAACCCCGGCGAGGGGAGUGAAAUAGAACCUGAAACCAUAUACGUACAAGCAGUAGAAGCACUUUUAAGUGUGACUGCGUACCUUUUGUAUAAUGGGUCAGCGAGUUAUAUUUUGCAGCAAGGUUAACUGAAUAAGGGAGCCGUAGGGAAACCGAGUCUUAAAUGGGCAUUAAGUUGCAAGAUAUAGACCCGAAACCUGGUGAUCUAGCCAUGGGCAGGUUGAAGGUUGGAUAAUACCAACUGGAGGACCGAACCGACUAAUGUUGAAAAAUUAGCGGAUGACCUGUGGUUAGGGGUGAAAGUCCAAUCAAACCAGGAGAUAGCUGGUUCUCCCCGAAAGCUAUUUAGGUAGCGCCUCAUGUAUCAUCUUCGGGGGUAGAGCACUGUUUCGCUUAGGGGGCUUUCCAAGCCUACCAACUCGAUGCAAACUACGAAUACCGAAGAAUGUAAUCAUGGGAGACACACGGCGGGUGCUAACGUCCGUCGUGGAGAGGGAAACAACCCAGACCGCCAGCUAAGGUCCCUAAAUCAUAAUUAAGUGGGAAACGAUGUGGGUAGGCUUAGACAGCCAGGAUGUUGGCUUAGAAGCAGCAAUCAUUUAAAGAAAGCGUAAUAGCUCACUGGUCGAGUCAGCCUGCGCGGAAGAUGUAACGGGGCUAAAUUAUGUACCGAAGCUGCGGCAACAACUUAAAAAUUGUUGGGUAGGGGAGCGUUCUGUAAGCUUAUGAAGGUAAUUUAAAAAAAUUACUGGAGGUAUCAGAAGUGCGAAUGCUGACAUGAGUAACGAUAAAGUAGGUGAAAAACCUACUCGCCGAAAAACUAAGGUUUCCUGUCCAACGUUAAUCGGGGCAGGGUAAGUCGAUUUCUAAGACGAGACCGCAAGGUGUAGUCGAUGGUGAACAGGUUAAUAUUCCUGUACUUAGUAUUACUGCCAAGGGGGGACGAAGAAGGCUAUGUUAGCCAAGUGACGGUUUAUCUUGGUUUAAACAUGUAGAUUGACUUUUUAGGUAAAUCCGAAAAGUUAAAAUUGAGGUGUGAUAACAAAGUACUCAGGUACCUAAGUAACAAAUGCCACACUUCCAAGAAAAGCCUCUAAGCUAUAGGUAAUACUAAAUCGUACCUCAAACCGACACAGGUAGUAAAGUAGAGAAUACUCAGGCGCUUGAGAGAACUCGGGUGAAGGAACUAGGCAAAAUAGUGCCGUAACUUCGGGAGAAGGCACACUAAUAUUAGGUGAAAGGAUUAACUCCCAGAGCUGAGAUUAGUCUAAGAUACCAGCUGGCUGCAACUGUUUAUUAAAAACAUAGCACUGUGCAAACACGAAAGUGGACGUAUACGGUGUGAUGCCUGCCCGGUGCCGGAAGGUUAAUUGAUGGAGUUAUCGAAAGAAAAGCUCCUGAUCGAAGCCCCGGUAAACGGCGGCCGUAACUAUAACGGUCCUAAGGUAGCGAAAUUCCUUGUCGGGUAAGUUCCGACCUGCACGAAUGGCGUAAUGAUGGCCAGGCUGUCUCCACCCGAGACUCAGUGAAAUUGAAAUCGCUGUGAAGAUGCAGUGUACCCGCGGCAAGACGGAAAGACCCCGUGAACCUUUACUAUAGCUUGGCAAUGAAUAUUGAAUCUUGAUGUGUAGGAUAGGUGGGAGACUAAGAAAUGUGGACGCUAGUUUACAUGGAGUCAACCUUGAAAUACCACCCUUUGAUAUUCAAUAUUCUAACGUAAUUCCGUAAUCCGGAAUGCGGACAUUGUCUGGUGGGUAGUUUGACUGGGGCGGUCUCCUCCCAAAGAGUAACGGAGGAGUACAAAGGUCAGCUAAUCACGGUCGGAUAUCGUGAGGUUAGUGCAAAGGCAUAAGCUGGCUUAACUGUGAGCGUGACAACGCGAACAGAUGCGAAAGCAGGUCUUAGUGAUCCGGUGGUUCUGCAUGGAAGGGCCAUCGCUCAACGAAUAAAAGGUACUCCGGGGAUAACAGGCUAAUACCGCCCAAGAGUUCAUAUCGACGGCGGUGUUUGGCACCUCGAUGUCGGCUCAUCACAUCCUGGGGCUGUAGUAGGUCCCAAGGGUAUGGCUGUUCGCCAUUUAAAGUGGUACGCGAGCUGGGUUUAGAACGUCGUGAGACAGUUCGGUCCCUAUCUGCCGUGGGCGUUGGAAAAUUGAAGGGGGUUGCUUCUAGUACGAGAGGACCGAAGUGAACGUACCUCUGGUGUUCGGGUUGUCAUGCCAAUGGCAUUGCCCGGUAGCUAAGUACGGAAAAGAUAAGUGCUGAAAGCAUCUAAGCACGAAACUUGCCCUAAGAUGAGUUUUCCCUGAGGUUAUUAUACCUCCUAAAGGGACGUUGAAGACAACGACGUUGAUAGGCUGGAUGUGUAAGCAUAGUGAUGUGUUGAGCUAACCAGUACUAAUGACCCGUGAGACUUAACUUCACA